RNAcentral lists this ribosomal RNA (849 nucleotides) under Triticum aestivum (bread wheat). RNAcentral's name for it is "partial small subunit ribosomal RNA". The record is from RNAcentral. Lineage: Eukaryota; Viridiplantae; Streptophyta; Magnoliopsida; Poales; Poaceae.
AUGUCUACCAAUCAAAUGCUACUGUUUGUACAUUUAUGUAUAAAUAGGCCUGAGCAGAGCAGUAGACACAUCAAACGAAGAAGUGUUCUUUUCUGCUCCUCCUGUCUUCAACCACAAUACAUACAGAGAAAAGCUUCAAGCUCAGAUAUGGCUUUCCACCAAAGAUCGAUAAGUUUGCCUUCUAGGCCUCACAUCAGUGAGACCCAAGUUGAGCAAGAACUCCAGAGCCUAGAAGCAAGCAUCUCUUCCUCCAAUUCCAUCAGCACGAUGUGCGAUGGUCUGAGGAGUCUUGCAAACAUCUAUGAUGGUCUUGAAGAGAUUAUUUGCCUACCAGGCCACCAAGUUUUCUCCUCCCAGCAGAGGAAGAUGUUGGAUAGAGAGAUGGGAUGCUCCGUUGAGCUCUUAGAUCUCUGCAGCACCAUGCAAGAGACCUUUGCUGAGAUGGUGGUCAUCAUCCAAGAGCUGCAAGUGGCUCUAAGAAAAGGAGAUGAUGCAGCUGCUCAAGCCAAGAUCAAGUCUUUUACUCGCUUGACGAAGAAGGCCAGGAAACACUUCAAGAAAACUGCCAAGAAGGCUGCAUCCAACAAGAUGGUCAUGCUAUUGACCAACACAAGAGAGAUAUGCAUCUCUCUGCUGGAGUCCACACUCCAUCUCUUGUCGAAGCAAAUUGAAAUGCCAAAGCAGUCCCUUGUCUGCAAGGCAUUUUACAAGAAGAAGGCCGUUGUUUGCGAGGAGGGACAAUUGCAGGAGUUAGAGUGCAGCAUCGGAGAGCUUCAGGAUGGAGCAGGAAUUCUGUUCAGGAAAUUAGUCCAGAACAGAGUUUCUCUAUUAAACAUUCUUAGCUCAUAA